Long non-coding RNA from Daphnia pulicaria, 630 nucleotides. RefSeq lists it as uncharacterized. The transcript is spliced from 3 exons. NCBI's taxonomy places the organism in Eukaryota, Metazoa, Arthropoda, Branchiopoda, Diplostraca, Daphniidae. The record is from RefSeq and is a predicted model, not a curated record.
CAGAGACAAAGUUCAAGAUUUUUGAUAACCGUGUUCUUCAUGCUGUUUAAGUGUUUAGCGGAUUUAAGGCCAGGGCCUGCCAUCAUAACCACACAGUAUGCAAGUUGUUUUUGUGCAGGUAUUAAUAACCUGUCAUCAGCAACAAUCUCAGGAUCAUCGCUUCCAGGAUAAAAAACACCCCAUUGCAUUGGAAUGCAAUCGAAUUACGAAUCUCUUCCUUCCUCUCCCUUUCUUUCAAUGUCCUCGUGUACGCCCAUGUGAAUGUGGGUGUAUUCACGAGGACACCCUUUUUACCCUAUCCUGCCUGGUGGAUUCGACUUUUCAGCGGAUGGAUGGAGCACCUGGAUCAGUGGAUGCCUGGCUGUAUUUCCCAGGCAUAAAGGUAGGAAAAAAUUGAUCUCUAUUCUUCUUUUAUUUGAUAGUUUUUGGUGGCGUUGAUUUGAAAUCGUUACGUAGUCACGGGGUACGCGAGAGUACGUUUAUUCCUGAGAUAGGCGGUUGACUGCAACUGUUUUCUCUCUCCGUUUUGGUUUUAUCUCGGUAAGGGAUCACUUAAAAUCUCAUUUGUCGAACGACUGAAGAUCAGGCCUGUUUUAUGUUUUUUGAACCCCACAACUUUUUCUGUGGGUC